UACGUAGGCGGAAGAUUAAGUCAGUGGUGAAAUCCCGCAGCUCAACUGUGGAACUGUUAUUGAUACUGGUUUUCUUGAAUAUAGUUGAGGUAGGCGGAAUGUGUAAUGUAGCGGUGAAAUGCUUAGAUAUUACACAGAACACCGAUUGCGAAGGCAGCUUACUAAGCUAUGAUUGACGCUGAGGUACGAAAGCGUGGGGAGCGAACAGGAUUAGAUACCCUGGUAGUCC
Molecule: ribosomal RNA, 229 nt
Filed under: uncultured bacterium
Lineage: Bacteria
Description: partial 16S ribosomal RNA
Rfam family: Bacterial small subunit ribosomal RNA
Source: RNAcentral